Molecule: unclassified non-coding RNA, 310 nt
Filed under: fungal sp.
Lineage: Eukaryota; Fungi
Description: partial internal transcribed spacer region
Rfam family: Eukaryotic small subunit ribosomal RNA (bases 1-46)
Source: RNAcentral
AAGUCGUAACAAGGUAACCGUAGGUGAACCUGCGGUUGGAUCAUUACAAAAUUUUAGUCGGCUUUUUACCGACGGCUGGGCUGGGUGAUUUCGCCCGUUGGCAGAAACACCCACAUCGUAAUCGAGUUGGAGACCGUAGGUUUCCUUUCGGAGACGAGACUGCCUUUGCUGGCGGCAAUAAGCAAAACGACAACCCACAACCGUGCCCCUUUGCCUCGAAAGAGGAAUUACAACUGUUUAUAUCAUCAAUCUGACACCAACCAUGAGAAACAAUGAGAAACAACUUUAGACAACGGAUCUCUUGGCUCUC